AUGAACAUGAGGGUCACUGCUCAGCUCCUGGGGCUUUUGGUGCUCUGGCUGCCAGGAACCAGGUGUGACAUCCAGAUGACCCAGUCUCCAUCCUCCCUGUCUAUGUCUCCUGGAGACAGAGUAACCAUCACUUGCAGAGCCAGUCAGGACAUUUAUAAUGCUCUAAAUUGGUAUUAUCAGGAACCAGGGAAAGCUCCUGAACUCCUGAUCUAUUCUGCAAUCUUUCUGCAACCUGGGGUCCCAUCCAGAUUCAGUGGCAGUGGAUCUGGGGCAGAUUACACUAUCACCAUCAGCAGCCUGGAGCCUGAGGAUGUUGCAACUUAA
Non-coding RNA from Cavia porcellus (domestic guinea pig), 324 nucleotides. The record is from the annotation of a RefSeq genome assembly. NCBI's taxonomy places the organism in Eukaryota, Metazoa, Chordata, Mammalia, Rodentia, Caviidae.